AACGUAGGUUCCGAGCGUUAUCCGGAUUUACUGGGCGUAAAGCGCGUUCAGGCGGUUUGGCAAGUCGGGCAUGAAAUCUCUCGGCUCAACCGGGAGAGGUUGUCCGAUACUGUCGUGACUUGAGGGCAGUAGAGGGUGGUGGAAUUCCGGGUGUAGUGGUGAAAUGCGUAGAUAUCCGGAGGAACACCAGUGGCGAAAGCGGCCACCUGGACUGUACCUGACGCUGACACGGCGAAAAGCUAGGGGGGGCGAACGGG
RNAcentral lists this ribosomal RNA (257 nucleotides) under uncultured bacterium. Its description in RNAcentral is "partial 16S ribosomal RNA". It matches the Rfam family "Bacterial small subunit ribosomal RNA", at positions 524 to 776 of the family's 1533-position model. The record is from RNAcentral.